UUCCGGUUGAUCCCGCCGCCGGCCACCGCUAUCAAGUUCCGACUAAGCCAUGCGAGUCAAGGUAUCGUAAGAUGCCGGCAAACUGCUCAGUAACACGUGGAUAAUCUAACCUUGAGUAAGGGAUAACCUCGGGAAACUGAGGAUAAUACCUUAUAAUUGCUUAAAACUGGAAUGUUUAAGCAAUAAAAGUUCCGACGCUCAAGGAUGAGUCUGCGACCUAUCAGGUAGUAGGUGGUGUAAUGGACCACCUAGCCUCAGACGGGUACGGGCCCUGGGAGGGGUAGCCCGGAGAUGGACUCUGAGACAUCAGUCCAGGCCCUACGGGGCGCAGCAGGCGCGAACACUGUGCAAUGCGCGAAAGCGCGACACGGGGAGCUUAAGUGUCUUGGCAUAGCCAAGACUUUUCUCAUUCCUAAAAAGCAUGAGGAAUAAGUGCUGGGUAAGACGGGUGCCAGCCGCCGCGGUAACACCCGCAGCACAAGUGGUGGUCACUUUUAUUGAGCCUAAAGCGUUCGUAGCCGGUUUUGUAAAUCUUUAGAUAAAGCCUGAAGCUUAACUCCAGAAAGUCUGAAGAGACUGCAAGACUUGAGAUCGGGUGAGGUUAAACGUACUUUCAGGGUAGGGGUAAAAUCCUGUAAUCCUGGGGGGACGACCGGUGGCGGAAGCGUCUCGCUAGAACGACUCCGACGGUGAGGGACGAAGGCUAGGGGAGCAAACCGGAUUAGAUACCCGGGUAGUCCUAGCUGUAAACGCUGCACACUUGGUGUUGCCCCUUCUUAGGGAAAGGGCAGUGCCGGAGCGAAGGUGUUAAGUGUGCCGCUUGGGGAGUAUGGUCGCAAGGCUGAAACUUAAAGGAAUUGGCGGGAGAGCACCGCAACGGGAGGAGCGUGCGGUUUAAUUGGAUUCACCGCCGGGA
Molecule: ribosomal RNA, 916 nt
Filed under: uncultured archaeon
Lineage: Archaea
Description: bacterial SSU rRNA
Rfam family: Archaeal small subunit ribosomal RNA
Source: RNAcentral